Molecule: ribosomal RNA, 59 nt
Filed under: Vibrio parahaemolyticus
Lineage: Bacteria; Pseudomonadati; Pseudomonadota; Gammaproteobacteria; Vibrionales; Vibrionaceae
Description: partial 16S ribosomal RNA
Source: RNAcentral
UUAAAUUGAAGAGUUGAUCAUGGCUCAGAUUGAACGCUGGCGGCAGGCCUAACACAUGC